CCUACGGGAGGCAGCAGUGGGGAAUAUUGCACAAUGGGCGAAAGCCUGAUGCAGCGACGCCGCGUGAGGGAUGACGGCCUUCGGGUUGUAAACCUCUUUCAGCAGGGAAGAAGCGCAAGUGACGGUACCUGCAGAAGAAGCACCGGCUAACUACGUGCCAGCAGCCGCGGUAAUACGUAGGGUGCGAGCGUUGCCGGAAUUAUUGGGCGUAAAGAGCUCGUAGGCGGCUUGUCACGUCGGGUGUGAAAGCCCGGGGCUUAACCCCGGGUCUGCAUUCGAUACGGGCAGGCUUGAGUGUGGUAGGGGAGAUCGGAAUUCCUGGUGUAGCGGUGAAAUGCGCAGAUAUCAGGAGGAACACCGGUGGCGAAGGCGGAUCUCUGGGCCAUUACUGACGCUGAGGAGCGAAAGCGUGGGGAGCGAACAGGAUUAGAUACCCUGGUAGUCCACGCCGUAAACGUUGGGAACUAGGUGUUGGCGACAUUCCACGUCGUCGGUGCCGCAGCUAACGCAUUAAGUUCCCCGCCUGGGGAGUACGGCCGCAAGGCUAAAACUUAAAUGAAUUGACGG
Molecule: ribosomal RNA, 567 nt
Filed under: uncultured bacterium
Lineage: Bacteria
Description: bacterial SSU rRNA
Rfam family: Bacterial small subunit ribosomal RNA
Source: RNAcentral